This is a long non-coding RNA of Gallus gallus (chicken), 419 nucleotides long. The record is from Ensembl. Lineage: Eukaryota; Metazoa; Chordata; Aves; Galliformes; Phasianidae.
GACAAUGGUUGAACGGCACAGAUGGAUGUGACCAUGAUCAAGGUCUGAAUGAACCUACAGAACACAGUGGUGGUAGUAAUGGCAGUAAGAGGAAAGCAGGCCGAACUUCCAAUAGCCUCUCCCACUGUACCGUACCUUGUUCAGAUUCCCCUCUAAGACAAAGCCUACAGCUGGGUUGGCACCAACUGAGACGCGAUCAAAUCUUUUAUCCUGAGGGAUGCAGUGUUUCUGUAAAAAGACUUUACACUCUGCCAAAGCAGAGAUUCUCUCUGCACCAUAAUUUCCAGAUGUGCCACCUUCUCAAGCCCUACUUAGUUUCUGUGUUAUACCUUUCAUAUGUUUGUUGCCCUGGGUCUUGAUACCUAUAUGUUCCUGCUCUAGUUACUGUGACUUGCUGAUCUGCAGGUGCUGGGGAAUAG